RNAcentral lists this ribosomal RNA (206 nucleotides) under uncultured bacterium. RNAcentral's name for it is "partial 16S ribosomal RNA". It matches the Rfam family "Bacterial small subunit ribosomal RNA", at positions 568 to 774 of the family's 1533-position model. The record is from RNAcentral.
CACGUAGGCGGCUUUCUAAGUCAGGGGUGAAAUCCUGGAGCUCAACUCCAGAACUGCCUUUGAUACUGGAGAGCUUGAGUCCGGGAGAGGUGAGUGGAACUCCGAGUGUAGAGGUGAAAUUCGUAGAUAUUCGGAAGAACACCAGUGGCGAAGGCGGCUCACUGGCCCGGUACUGACGCUGAGGUGCGAAAGCGUGGGAGCAAACA